CCCGCCUUAACUCAGACUGGUAGAGUGCGCGGCUGUAGUAUGAUUUACCGUUCAGGUAAACGCGCGGCUACCGCGAUGUCCCCGGUUCGAUUCCGGGAGGCGGGA
This 105-nucleotide transfer RNA is filed under the name Methanosphaerula palustris E1-9c. Its description in RNAcentral is "tRNA-Tyr". The record is from RNAcentral. Lineage: Archaea; Methanobacteriati; Methanobacteriota; Methanomicrobia; Methanomicrobiales; Methanoregulaceae.